Molecule: transfer RNA, 76 nt
Filed under: Desulfocurvibacter africanus PCS
Lineage: Bacteria; Pseudomonadati; Thermodesulfobacteriota; Desulfovibrionia; Desulfovibrionales; Desulfovibrionaceae
Description: Desulfovibrio africanus PCS tRNA-Ala
Rfam family: tRNA
About the family: Transfer RNA (tRNA) molecules are approximately 80 nucleotides in length. Their secondary structure includes four short double-helical elements and three loops (D, anti-codon, and T loops). Further hydrogen bonds mediate the characteristic L-shaped molecular structure. tRNAs have two regions of fundamental functional importance: the anti-codon, which is responsible for specific mRNA codon recognition, and the 3' end, to which the tRNAs corresponding amino acid is attached (by aminoacyl-tRNA synthetases). tRNAs cope with the degeneracy of the genetic code in two manners: having more than one tRNA (with a specific anti-codon) for a particular amino acid; and 'wobble' base-pairing, i.e. permitting non-standard base-pairing at the 3rd anti-codon position.
Source: RNAcentral
CGGGAUGUAUGGCACCUGGAAUCGAACUUGAAUGGCAUUCAAGAGGUCAAGGGUUCAAUUCCCUUUAGCUCCACCA